Long non-coding RNA from Engraulis encrasicolus (European anchovy), 903 nucleotides. RefSeq lists it as uncharacterized. The record is from RefSeq and is a predicted model, not a curated record. The transcript has 3 exons. NCBI's taxonomy places the organism in Eukaryota, Metazoa, Chordata, Actinopteri, Clupeiformes, Engraulidae.
GUGGCUUUUCCCUAAUGUUUAUGAUUUGUCAAUCCUUUGGGCUCUUUAUGUCUUUUCAGAUCAGUGCUGAAUUCAAAAGAAUCACCACAGUUCCCCUGCAAUCCAAGCAACUGUUGCUGAAUUGGCUGAUUUGUACAAGAUGCACCAUUUCUGAGGACUUCUGGCACAGUGGCCUGCACUGUUCAAAGUUCGCAAGGUAAGACAUUCAAUUCGGAUUGUCUUUAAUGUUUUUAUUUGUGAAUUACAGCGUUUUAUCUCCUUUCUUGAAUGUGUGUGUGGCUUUCUCCUAAUGUUAAUGAUUUGAUUGUUAAAUCCUUUGGGCUCUUUAUGUCUUUUCAGAUCAGUGCUGAAUUGAAAAGAAUCACCACAGUCCCACUGCAAUGCCCUGCACUGUUCCAAGUCCACAAGGUCAUGGAUGAAGUUGCCGUAGACGAAGCAAUUGAAGACAUCACUAUUGGAAUCUGCUCUGACAGAAGAUUGGGCAUCCCACCCUUAGGACAUUGUCAGUUUUAGUGUAUGUCUGUCACACACGUGACACCCAAUCGGAAAGGACUCUUUUUUUCAGCAACUAAAAAACAGCAGUUAUUUUUGUUUCUUUAAGUGAAAUGUACCUUUUUUCUAGAGAUCUAUUUGCUUGUAUGCACUUCCAGCUCCUUGCUGGUUUAAGAAUAGUACUUGAGUGUGCAUAUGUUUUGUACAUACUGUGUUGAUUUUGACCCAAACUAAAGACAAACAAAAUAACAAAACUAGACUUAAAUAAGACUGGGUAAUAACACAAAUGUGGUCACCAAAGAGGACAACCAAAUGAAUGGUGGACUGCCAGAUGCACGCGCACAUGCAUACAUUAUACGUGCACAUGCAUACAGUAUACGCGCAUGAACGCACACACGCACACCUACUAGU